Taeniopygia guttata (zebra finch) is the source of this 2230-nucleotide non-coding RNA. NCBI's taxonomy places the organism in Eukaryota, Metazoa, Chordata, Aves, Passeriformes, Estrildidae. The record is from RefSeq and is a predicted model, not a curated record.
UCACCGCUGCUGGCUCCGCUCUCAGCUCGCCGGUUCCGUUCCUUGCCCCGCGCCCGCCUCCCGGGCCGUGCUGGGCGGUACCGGCGGCCCCCAGAACUUCCCGGCCCGCGGGCGGCCCUGCGCAAAGAACGCCACUGGCUGCGAGGGGUUUUAUUUUGUUUAUUUGUGCUCUUCUUUCCCCUCCCUCUCCCGCUUUAGCCCGGGAACUCCCGCAGCAUUGGUUAAUCCUCGAGGAGGGAUAACUGCUGAGAUCUUCAGCCCGCUACCACGGAUGCUUCCUAGAGCUCCAGCAGCUCUGUGAGGGAUGUGCAGCUACAAGAUGUGAAGCUUUUUAUAGGACUCUUGGACAGUUUAUAGACAGCAGCUGACACCUGUAAAAUUCACCUGGAGCUAUUCAGCAGUUUUAAACACCUCGAUGCAAUUUAUCCAGAACUCUUCAUGCACAAAAAAAAUGCAAAAAUUGAUUGGAGUGGCCAAGGAAUUCUUCUGUCCUGUCUUUAAAAACAGCUCUUCACUGUUUGGUGCUGGACCUCGUGCUCUGGCUGCCCUGGCCAGUGGGAUUUGCUGCUCAGGGAAUUCCUCGUGGAUUUUGGAUCCUGACACAAACCAGAGGAGCUGUGGAGUGCUUGGACAGAGGAGAUCCCAGCUUAGAAGGAGCAAUGCUUCAAUCAAAAGUUGAAAUUUCUGUAUUUGGUCAUUUAAGAGGGCUCUGGAUGUGCCCCCUGAGUGUCCUGAGCACAAGGUGGGACCCAGGACCCCCAGCCCAGGAACCCAAAACCCACCUGGGACCCAGCAAGGGGAGCAGAAGGGACCUUCUGGCCCUCUGAGACUCCCUGCAAGGAGGGUCUGGGAGGGGUUUGGUCUCUUCUCUGGGUGCUCAGAGGUGGGGGAGCCCCUUUUUUGGGAGCACCUGCAGGUUCAUGCCCCAGGUGAUGUGGGAAGCUUGAUGUGAGUGUCUGAGAGCAUGAAAAGUCUCUUUAAUUUGGAUUUAACUUGAAUAGUGAGACCUCGUGUGUGCUCCCAUGGCUGGCUCUGAAGAAAGCAGCCCGUGUGUGAACAAUAAUGUGCUACAUUUUAGCUAAAUUCUCUAAAUUAUUCUUUUUAAGGCUGAUGCGGACUGCUGGAAAGCCCAGGGAGGGUUUUGAGGUGCCUGGAUCUGUCUGGCACAGCAAGCUCUCCCAAAACAGGGUAAAACUUCCCUGUGUACUUAAAAAUUGCCAAAAUCCAGAGGUUCAAUGUGAAUUAAUGCAUAAAAAAGUAAGGGAAGCAGGGAAAUUGGGAAGCAAAUUGCUGCUACUUUUUUCCUCUUAAACGCUUUAAAGAAGAAAAAGGGAGGAAUUCCUUGCCAGGGCUGCUUUGUGGGAUGCUGUGCCUGGAGCAGAGCUGUGGGGAGAGCAUCCCGUGGCUCUGUCCCAGCCCUGCCCACAAAUCCAGAGUGGGAUCUGCAUUUACAGCUGGAACCCCUCAGGGAUGAGCACUUAGGGCUGUAAUUCCAAGGUGAUGAGACCAAAGUCAAGAAAAGUUUUUUCUGGGCUUUGUAAGAAACCCAAAAGUGCCCUUUGUGGGUGUCUUCUGGCAGGGCCCAGGCGUGCAGAGACCCCACAACUCUGACAGCAGCUGGGGCACCCCAGCCCUGGCUGAGCUCUGAGCAAACCCUGCUGCAGAUCCUGUGGGAAAGAGAGGAAAAGGAGCUCAAUUCACUCAGGAAUUGCAACUGCAGAGCAAAAUACAUCACCGUGCUGAGAUGAAACGAGUUGAUACAGAAAUCAACUGUAUUGGCUUAAAGUAGCAUUAGAAAUGCCUUCAAAUUCAAGAUAAGGUUCUCCUGAAGUUCCUAAAGUUGGGUAAAUAUAAAAGUGCAAUUAUUAGAGCUGCUGGUGGGGAGAAGCCACGUCCUGAAAUCCUGGAGCUCUCCUGUGUCCUCGGCCACCGCUGCUGUGGGGUCAGGAGCAUCAGCCUGGAGGGAGCAGCCCUGGUUAUUCCUCCUCUAAGGUGAGAUUUAAAAUUCCUGCAGUGUUUAAAAAUGGAAUUGUGGGCAUUAAUGUGGGAGCCACGCCGUGAAAAAGGUGCACGACCAGUGUGGGGGGAAAUUCUGGGUUUAUGUUGCUGAAAAGGUGCUGGAGGUAAGGAAGAGGAUAUUCCUUUUCUGUGGGAUUGGAAGCAGGCACUGGCAGAGGCUUUUUCACCAUUUCAAAUACGUGCUGAUGGCAACUUCUUAUAAUUGUCCGAU